Molecule: long non-coding RNA, 6843 nt
Filed under: Eutrema salsugineum
Lineage: Eukaryota; Viridiplantae; Streptophyta; Magnoliopsida; Brassicales; Brassicaceae
Description: long non-coding RNA (ESAL_LNC000609)
Source: RNAcentral
GUCAAGUGCGGUACGGUCCAAGCCGGAAAGGGCGAGAGGGUCUACAAAGCCGAGCCGAUUUGCAGGUUUUUCCUGAAGGAUAACAUUCAAGAUAUUGGAUCGCUUGCUUCUCAAGUCAUUGUCAAUUUCGACAGCGUCUUCCUUAAUACCUGGUAUUUUUUCUACAGUUCAUCUUAGUACAAACCUGUUCCGUUUUUCCAUGCCCUAGUUCCUGAUUGAAAUGCUAUGAGAUCUUACCUUAAACCGUACGCAAAUUUUAGGGCACAAUUGAAAGAUGUCGUGCUAGAGGGAGGAGAUGCAUUUGGCCGUGCACAUGGUGGCAUGAAACUAUUCGACUAUAUGGGUACAGAUGAGAGAUUCAGCAAGCUCUUUAACCAAACCGGAUUCACAAUCGCCGUUGUGAAGAAGGCUCUUGAAGUCUACGAAGGCUUCAAAGGUGUGAAUGUUUUGGUUGAUGUCGGAGGUGGAGUAGGCAACACCCUUGGUGUUGUUACUUCUAAAUAUCCUAACAUUAAGGGUAUUAAUUUUGAUCUCACGUGUGCCUUGGCACAAGCACCUUCUUACCCUGGGGUGGAACAUGUCGCCGGAGAUAUGUUCGUGGAUGUUCCAACCGGAGAUGCCAUGAUCUUGAAAGUAAGAUUAACAACUUAUUAUUCAUCUAGCUUGAAAGUGUAUGUAUACUAGUACUUAUAUCUGGGAUUAAAUUUGUUUUACAGCGUAUACUUCAUGAUUGGAAUGACGAAGACUGUGUGAAGAUUCUUAAGAAUUGUUGGAAAUCACUACCAAAGAAUGGUAAAGUUGUUGUCAUAGAAUUAGUCACUCCUGAUGACGCGGAGAGUGGAGACAUCAACGCAAACAUAGCAUUUGACAUGGACAUGUUAAUGUUCACCCAAUGUUCUGGUGGCAAAGAGAGGUCAAGAGCUGAGUUUGAAGCUUUGGCUGCAGCUUCUGGUUUCACCCAUUGCAAGUUCGUUUGUCGUGCUUAUCACUGUUGGAUUAUUGAGUUCUGUAAAGAAAAUGUUUAAAAUAUGAAACUUAAUCUGUUGGAAAAAAAUAAGAAAAACUAAAUCCUCGUCAUUGUUAAUUCGUCUUUGCUUUUUUUUUUUUUUACUUGUUUACCUUUUUAAUUCAUCUUUGUUUGAAAUGGUACAAUUUAGUCGAGCAAUAUGAAAUAAAAAAAUCUGUUUAUCAAUUGGUUUUCUCAUUUUGUACUCAGCUUUAGCUAAUAAUUGUAGCCACAUGGAAUUCAUUGAUUUCGUUUUGAAAGUCUCACACAAGAGCAUCAUUGGUUGUUUUCAUUUGUUUUCUUCUUCUUUCUCCUUGGUUGUUACUUGUUAGUCCUCUUCCUUUCGCCGGAAAUAACGGCUACAUACUUCUCUAGUUUAAUGUUUUAUUCAUAAUUUCUGUUAUUGCAAAAGCUUGAGAGAUUCAUAAAUGAAUAUAAACCAAAAAAAUGUUCAUAAAACUAGAAUAUAAUUAGAGAAUACAGACUAAGACCAUCUCCAAUGGUCCUUCAAAUUUUACUUUUUCCUUCAUUUUGAAGAUAAAAAUGAAGAAGUCUUUUCCAAUGGUGCUUCAAUUUCACCUUCAAAAUGAAGAAAUGAACAGUGUUCCUUUCUUCAUUUUUUGAAGGUGAACUUUUUUCUUAUAAAAUGUAACUUUAACUUUUUAUAUGUUUUGUUUUAUACCCAAACAAAACUUAUAUAUUUUUUUGUAUCCAAUUUUUUUUAAAACUAUGGAUUUAUCCAAUCAAAUUAUAAACUAAAAAUGUAAUAAGCACAAUAAAAAAUACAAUAACAUAUAUUAAUUAAGAAAUACAAGAACAUAGCCAACUACAAAAUUAAAAAUACAUAUCUAAUACUAAAUUAUAAAUAAGAAAACUUAACAUAACAUAAACUAACAACUUAAUAAUCUGAGAAACUAUUUCUACAUCCAUUAAAAUUAUUAAAUUUUUGUUGAAAUUUUACAAUAAAUAAAAUAAGUAGGUGAAAACUUAUAAAACAGAAAAUUGAAGGAUCUUAUUAGCAAUUAGUAAUAACAUAAAGAAAUAGAAUAUACCUAAAAUAUUCUUUUUGAAGAAAAAAAUGAAGAAAAGUUGAUCCAAUGGUUUCUUCAUUUUUUCCUUCAAAAAUGAAGAAAAAAAUGAAGAAACCAUUGGAGAUGCUCUAACUCAUAGAACAAAUGCCUGAUUGGAGGAAAAUGAGGCUUUUUACAUUUAUUUUUCAUUUGGAUUUUAUGGUACAUAAAUGCAUGCAUGUAAGUAUGUAACGAUAAACUUUUUGAAUGGGGUUGAUCGAUCACCACUUUAACAAUAGAAAUAGCAUCAACGGAUAGUUGGUUUGAGACAAAUGAACUAGACCGGGCAGAAAUCGGGAUCUAGAGAUAAGGCAUGACCAGCCGUGAGAUAACCAAUAAUCAUCCUUUUAUCCAUAACAAUAAUCAUCGCCUCAACUACCACCAUAUAGACAUAAUCCACGCAAAAACAAAGGCGAUUUAAUUUGCUCGGACACUUACCAACUUUGUAAUUAACUAUAAUACGUGUUAAGAUUUGCAGCUUUCUUAUGGUUAUUGACUUAUUGUUAUAGUUAGCCCUAAAUUAUAUAUUAUUAUGUCGAUCAAAUUGAAGAACAAACAGAAAAACGAAAGAAAAUAGAUACAGUAUCUCGCUAACCUCUUUAUUCUUUAUUAGACAUGAGAUAUACACUUAUAGUUUGGUCGAUCCCUUUAGUCAUAAAAUUGGAUCAAAUUGAUGAAAAAAAUAUAUUUUGCUUAAUUUCAAUUUUUUUUAUAAGAGAUAAGAUAUACUAAUGUAGUCAAUGAGUCAUGAAACAAAGUGAAUUGACUUUUAUUAAAAAUUCCAACCAACUUGAAAACAGAGUUAACUGUUUCAGCCGCCAGAAGUACCUCUUACUUUUCUACAUAGAGACUAUUGACUAUUCAGCCAGCCAAAUGGACCGGCACGCCAACAAUAUAUUUAAAUGAAAUUAUUAUAAAAUAAAUAAAAAAAGACAGAGGAAGCUAAGCCUUAAUUCGCUAUAAAAAGAGAAACUAAGAUUUAUCAAAGCAUCAUCUUCAACACUACACACACAUACAGCCUCUCUCUAUUUCCUCGCUUCUAAUUAGUAAGGUACCGUGAAGGAGAAGAAAGAAAGAGAUAAGGACAAAUAUGGGAAUCCUUUUUGAAGAAACCUUGAGCUCUAACGGUAAAACCCAAAUUGUUAUUGAUGAUGAUAAUGAGUUGGGUUUGGUGGCCGUGAGACUAGCCAAUGCUGCAGCCUUCCCAAUGGUUCUCAAAGCUUCCCUCGAGCUCGGUGUCUUCGACACUCUCUAUGCCGCCUCUGAGUUCCUCUCACCUUCCGAAAUAGCGAGCCGGCUACCAACCACACCUCGCAACCCUGGGGCGCCGGUUUUGUUGGAUCGUAUGCUUCGUCUACUCGCUAGCUACUCCAUGGUCAAGUGCGGUACGGUCCAAGCCGGAAAGGGCGAGAGGGUCUACAAAGCCGAGCCGAUUUGCAGGUUUUUCUUGAAGGAUAACAUUCAAGAUAUUGGAUCGCUUGCUUCUCAAGUCAUUGUCAAUUUCGACAGCGUCUUCCUUAAUACCUGGUAUUUUUCUAUUCAUCGAUUGAGAUGUUUUAAAACAUUCAAAUUAAACCAUGAAUCUUAUGUUAUGGAUACGCUGUUUUCACAGGGCACAAUUGAAAGAUGUGGUGCUAGAAGGAGGAGAUGCGUUUGGCCGUGCACAUGGUGGGAUGAAAAUCUUCGACUAUAUGGGCACAGAUGAGAGAUUCAGCAAACUCUUUAACCAGACCGGAUUCACCAUCGCUGUUGUGAAGAAGGCUCUUGAAGUUUACCAAGGCUUCAAAGGUGUGAAUGUUUUGGUUGAUGUAGGAGGAGGAGUUGGUAACACUCUUGGUGUAGUUACUUCGAAGUAUCCUAACAUUAAAGGUAUCAAUUUUGAUCUGCCUUGUGCCUUGGCACAAGCACCUUCUUACCUUGGGGUAGAACAUGUCGCCGGAGAUAUGUUUGUUGAUAUCCCAACCGGAGAUGCCAUGAUCUUGAAAGUAAGUCCAACAACCCUCUUAUUUUAACACAUACUUACUAGAAGUGUAUGUAUGUUGUACAUUGUGCUUACUUUUUGGGAUUAAAUUUGUUUUACAGCGUAUACUUCAUGACUGGACCGACGAAGACUGCGUAAAGAUUCUUAAAAACUGUUGGAAAUCACUUCCUGAAAACGGUAAAGUUGUUGUCAUAGAAUUAGUCACUCCUGAUGAGGCAGAAAAUGGGGACAUCAACGCGAACAUUGCCUUUGAUAUGGACAUGUUGAUGUUCACACAAUGUUCCGGCGGAAAAGAGAGAUCACGAGCUGAGUUUGAAGCUUUAGCCAUGGAAUCAGGCUUUACACAUUGCAAGUUCGUUUGUCCCGCUUACCACUGUUGGAUUAUUGAGUUUUGCAAAGAAAAUGUUUAAAAAUAUAAUGAGGAAUCCUCAUGCAUCAAUUGUUAAUUUCAUCUUCGCUUUAUUCCUUGUUUGCGAUGAUCAUGCCUUUGUCCUUGUCUUCAAUGCAAUGAAAUAAAAAUAAGCUUUUAGAUUUAUUUUUUAACAGUCCACUCGCUGAAAAAUAACGGCUAGCUACUUCUCUAUUUUAAUGUUUCAAUUUUUCUAUUAUCAUGCAUAUGUUUGAAAGAAUCUUUUCAUAAUAAAUUAAUAUUCUAAUAAUGUAGUCUUUUAAGAAUACAGUUUUAAGUAUAAGAUAUCAUAUAUGAUGGGACGAAUAUCCGAUAAAAAAGAAACUGAGUCAAUUUUAAGGUUUUAUCCUUGGUAACUAUAAAUUCGGAAGGUGUGUGCAACGAUUAUAAAAAAUGCCACGAUACGAGCAUAGUAGUGUACAUAAAAUCCACGAUAAUGUUUGAUAUUUAUCUCUAUAUACACUUCUAUGCUCGUAUCGUGGAUUUUAUGUUCAUAAUUAAUUAAUUAAAGAUCUUUUAAAAAUAAAUAAAUUAAUUAAAGAUGUAUUUAAGUUUACUGAUAAGGUUAAGUUGUAGGAGUUAAAAUUUAGAUAAGUAAGAAAAUUACAAUUGAUGGAAUUACAAUGUUCGUAUAUGGUUUUGGAGGAAAAUGAAAAAUAGAGUUUAUUUUAUUGUUAUGUCAUUGAUUUAAAUUGUCUUUCUUUCCCCAGAAAUAUGCAACCUUCUUAUCCAUCCAUAACAACUCAUCAGUCAUCAGGCUCACUCACCUACCACCGUAAUAACCAUGCAAAGACAAAGGCAAUUUCAGUCACACACGUAACAACUUUGUAAUUUACUUAAAUUGGUCCAUUAUAUGGUUACUCUUUGAAUUUUAAGUUUUCUUAUGAUUAUUGAUCUAAUUAACCCAAAACUAUAUAAGUAAAAAUGAAGUUUGACAAUCCAAAACUCGUGACCUUCCUAGAAGGCCGAUUCAAGAUGGAGGCCAUAGAGGACAAGCGUGAUGUUUACACUCACUUCGGUCCAAAUUACAGCAGAUAUAUUAUCCUACUAAAGAAAAAUAAAAUAAAGAUUUCCGUAUUUUUCUUGUCCUUCCUAUGUCGCAAUCGUUCAAAUCAAGUUGGAGACUUGGAGCUAUGCGUUUCUCUGCGUAUUAUAAUUUAUUUUAUUAUUAUGCGAUCAAACUGAAGAACAAAAUAAAUAAGAUAUUUGCUUAUUAUUUUAUUUUCUUUUAUAACCGAUAUUUGCGAACGUAAUAUACACUUUUAUAGUCACUUGGUCUACCAUAGUGAUGAAAUUAAAGUGACUGUCGUCUCCUUUGAACAUUGACUUUUCAAAACCAAUUGACUUGAAACAAGAUUUAGCUGUUUCAGCCGCAACAAGGGCCUCUUACUUUUCCACAUCGAGACUAUUCAGCCAGCCAAGUGGACCGGCACGCCAACGAUAUAAUUCAAUGAAUACAAUAAAUUUAGUUAAAAUAAUAUGAGGAGGCUAUAAAGCCUUAGCUAUAAAAGGAGAAAUCAUCUUCAUCAACACUACAAAUAAGAAACACACAUACACAGCCUCUCUCUCCCUAUCUAUCUUUCCUCGCUUCUGAUCAGAGUGAUCACGUACGGUACCGUGAAAGAGAAGAAAGAAAAAAAUGGGAAUCCUUUUUGAAGAAACCUUGAGCUCUAACCCCCAAACCCAAAUUGUUAUUGAUGAUGAUGAUAAUGAGUUGGGAUUGAUGGCCGUGAGACUAGCCAAUGCUGCAGCCUUUCCAAUGGUUCUCAAAGCUUCCCUCGAGCUCGGUGUCUUUGACACUCUCUAUGCCGCCUCUGAGUUCCUCUCACCUUCCGAGAUAUCGAGCCGGCUACCAACCACACCUCGCAACCCUGGGGCGCCGGUUUUGUUAGAUCGUAUGCUUCGUCUACUCGCUAGCUACUCCAUGGUCAAGUGCGGUACGGUCCAAGCCGGAAAGGGCGAGAGGGUCUACAAAGCCGAGCCGAUUUGCAGGUUUUUCCUGAAGGAUAACAUUCAAGAUAUUGGAUCGCUUGCUUCUCAAGUCAUUGUCAAUUUCGACAGCGUCUUCCUUAAUACCUGGUAUUUUUUCUACAGUUCAUCUUAGUACAAACCUGUUCCGUUUUUCCAUGCCCUAGUUCCUGAUUGAAAUGCUAUGAGAUCUUACCUUAAACCGUACGCAAAUUUUAGGGCACAAUUGAAAGAUGUCGUGCUAGAGGGAGGAGAUGCAUUUGGCCGUGCACAUGGUGGCAUGAAACUAUUCGACUAUAUGGGUACAGAUGAGAGAUUCAGCAAGCUCUUUAACCAAACCGGAUUCACAAUCGCCGUCGUGAAGAAGGCUCUAGAAGUCUACGAAGGCUUCAAAGGUGUGAAUGUUUUG